Long non-coding RNA from Tarenaya hassleriana, 3583 nucleotides. RefSeq lists it as uncharacterized. NCBI's taxonomy places the organism in Eukaryota, Viridiplantae, Streptophyta, Magnoliopsida, Brassicales, Cleomaceae. The record is from RefSeq and is a predicted model, not a curated record. The transcript is spliced from 4 exons.
GUCGAAGAAAUCGUUGUCGAAGUCAUUAAAACUCACUUCUACCUUUUAAUCAAAGGGGACGAUAGAGAUGUAUCCUUGGUUCUCCAUUUCUGAAUCCUGAUUUCUUCAGUUUGAUAUACAUCUUCUCGAGCGCCUGUCGGUUCGGUUCGUACGAAACGGACUUCGGAAGGGAAAACCGACAUGGGUCAGAGUUCCGUCUGUUCAACAGAAGAACAUGUCGCUUCUCCAAAUCCCUGCGUGAUCGAACCCUUUCUCCAAGUCCGAAGCUUCAGAGCAAAUAUGAUGACGUGGGAAAGAGCCGAAAUCAACUAGCCGUUGGAGUUGGAGGUACUAUGAUGACGUGGUAAAUGAAAUCAUCCAGUAAAAUAAUAAAUGAAAAUUAGUAGUGCCUGUAAACAUUUCCUCUCUAUUUAUCUUAAAAAGAGAGUUACAGUCAUAAUCAGAAACGGCAUUGGGUUUCAAAAUUCAAAUUUCGAGAUUGGAGCGGAGCCCAAGAUCGAUCAAGAAUUGCAGUUUUUCCGGCGAAUCGUCUCCAUUAAUCCAGAAGAAUCGCAGAUGCCUCUGGCGUUGCCCACAUGCUUCAAGACCGAGAUUCUCACGUCACCUGUUUCAGGGCAUCACAGAUUCGCGAAGCGGGACACUGGGUUUGCUGUGCCGACAAGGAUACAGCACAGUGUCCGAACCGACGAUGACCGCAAGAGGCUGAAAACUCCAGGCUCUUUUACUUUCAGGCGAUUCUGACGAAAAGAGUCCGAGACGCUCAAUCAAGACCUUUUUGACGCCAUCACCCCCCUCGACCGCGGCGCCGCUGCCAUGCCCGAUGACAAGAUCCGUGUUGAUCAGGUCCUCUUUUCCUUUCCUUUUGAUUCACAGUGUGGCCUUGAUAGACUGGAACAAGAACGUGUCAGGGUACACUACGAUGAUUUCCUCAAAUUCGUCUCUAUUGCCAAUGCAAUACUACUUAAAUGUAGAGUGUAUAUGUUUUGCAUAUUAUUUGCCCUCUUUGAAAAGCUCCAGAACCUCGUAGAACACUUGCUUGUUAGAUUUUCAUCACUGUUUUGAUCUUGUAUUGGUGUGUAGCCCCUUCCUCCUACGGUUUGAUGGGGUUGAUUAGCAAACAUGUGGGUAACAUGUGCAGAGGAAGAUGAUAUCUGGAGUUGGGUACUUUUCUUUUUCCUCCUCUUCAAAGUUCAAUUUCUUAUUUUGUUAGGAGACCUGCCUUCUUCUUCCUCAGUUAGCUUCUGGAAUAUGAUGAUCCACAGGCAAACACCCUCUAAGUAACUCUCUCUUUUAUGGGAUAGUUUUAAUCUGUUUCUUUAAUGAUCAUGAUUAUGCUGCUUUUUUAUGUCUCGGAUGAUAUGUGGUUGAGUUGUAACCGGAUGUACAUUAGGAACCAACAAGAAUCUGAUUGACAAAACUUGGUAUAUAUUGAAAAUGAAUAUAUUUUGUAUUUUAUUUGCCUUGUGUUAAAAGCUUCAGAAACUCUUAGAACACUUGUUAGAUUUGCAUUGCUGUUGUUAUGACCGUUUAUUGAUGCAUAGCUUCUUCCACCUAAGAUUUUCAUGGGGUUGAGUUUGUUGCUAAGAAAACAUCUGCCGAGGGAGACAAUAUCUGAAGCUAGGUACUUCUCUUUCUUCUCUUCAAAAUUCAAGGCAAGCCGAACUGUCUUCUUACUCAGUUAGCUUCUAGAAUCUGAUUUUCAACAAGGAAUUGACAUCAGAUUCUAUAAGCAUAUAACUCCCUCUGUUGUGUUACCUUUACCUUUUCGAGAAAGUUUUAGUUUUUUUUAUUAUUAUUAUGACCAUGCUGCCUUUUUAUACUUCGGAUGAUCUGUUUUCGUGAAAGUUUUAGUCUUUUAGACUUGCUUGUUAGAUUUUCAUCGCUGUUAUAAGCUUCAAAAACUCGUAGAACACUUGCUUGUUAGAUUUUCAUUGUUGUUGUUCUGAUCGUUUAGUGAUGUGUAGCUUCUUCCUCCUAAAGGUCUCAUGUGGUUGACUUUGGUCCAAAGAAAGCAAGAGGGGAGAAAGCAAACAUACAAUUGCUUCCUUUCGAAUGUAUCUCGAACUUGGAUGCCAAAGGAAUGUACAAAGACGUUGACGAAACGGAUCCGACGUGUCCCAGGAUGUACAAGAAGUCAAUGAAAUCAAAUGUCAGAUGGACGUUCAACAGAGUAAAUAAACAAGAUUGACACUUAAUCAAAGGAAUCCGAAAAGCAUAUACUGGAAGAAAAUUCAUGAAUUGGAAAUUCGUUCCAGAAAGUCUUCUAAGAAGAAGAAGAAGGGAAAAAGUCUGAUAGAUGAAGAAGAAAUAGAGGAUGAGCGACGAGAAGAAGAAGAACAACAACAACAACGACAACAACUACCGCAACAAAGACUCCAACCACAAUGAAAACGACAAAGAGUAGCGGGAUUGUCAAGUCUAGAAGCACUUAAGACGAUUUGAAGGCCGAAAUAAAAACAGUCGAGAUCAAAAUCAUCGAUGUCGUGAAAGGCCUUUUAAAGGAGGUCGGGCUCAUUGGGAAAGAGCCUUAGGACAGGUCCGACGAACAAAGAGGGAUUUAUGACAAGUCAGGAGAACUUGGGGACAGAUCCAGUAGACAAGGACAGAUCUGUGUCAAGGGCCACAGUGCAGGAGAACUUGAGAAAAAAUCGAGUAGAGAAAGAAUAAUUUACGACAAGUCCUAAUUUUGGUUAUGUGGGAACCGGGGAAUAUUAUGAUCAAGAUGUUGGAGAUUAUGAGUUAAGACCUAGAGAUGUGACUCCAUGGGGUCUGAAAAAGAGAAGACUCAGGAGAAGGAGACCUCGGCCAAGAAGGAGGAGGUCUUGCUUAAGGAGAAAGAACCCUCAUCUAAGGAGAAAUGACUUUCGUCUAAGGAGAAAGAUACAUCGCGUAAGAUGCACAGUAGAAGAUCUCCCCUGGACAAAAUGGUGGUUACUGUCAUCGCGCAAGUAGGAAGAGAUGUUCCCGAAAAACCUUCGGGAGGGAAUAACAAAUAUGGAGGAGAUGUGGAUGACGAAGAAGAUGCUGAAGACGAUGAUAGUGACGAUGAUGGGACGAGGCAGCUGAAAAUGAUGUUGGCAGUGACGAAGAAGAGGAUGAGAACACGAAAAAAGAAGAUGACACCAAUGCUAAUGGGGUGAAAGCGAUGCUGACGAGGAUGAGGCAGUCGAAGAAUCUUUUGACGAGGAUAUGAGGCAGUCGAAGAAUGUUUAACAAAGAAUCUGUUGCUAAACCUGGUGAAGAUGCGGUACCAUGUCACAUGGUUCGCAUAGUACCAUGUGACCAUGUAAACAUAGUAUCAUGCGAACAUAGUAUCAUAUCAUCCUAUGUGAACCGUUAUUAUGACCAUGUAAACAUAGUAUCAUGUGAACAUAGUACUAUAUCAUCCUUGUGACCUAUGCAAACCGUUAUUCUAAUGACUCAUGACUAAUGUGGUCGUGUGGUCAUGUCACCAACUCCUGUCUAUUGUGACCCGACUAUUGUGUAACUAAUGAUUUUGUGUGUAGUGUGUACAUUGUGACCCAUAUAUACUCAUGCUGACCAUCGUGUGGUCAUGUCACCAACUCCUGUCUAUUGUGACCCG